UUAAGUUCAGCGGGUAUCCCUACCUGAUCCGAGGUCAAACGUGAUAAAAGGCUUAAUGGGUGCCUAUAGAAUAAGUAGUAAGACGCAAAAUGUGCUGCGCUCAAAACCAAAUAUAGGCUGCCAAUCGCUUUAAGGCGAGUCCAAACGCAGAGAGAGGACAAACACCCAACACCAAGCAUAGCUUGAAGGUACAAAUGACG
RNAcentral lists this unclassified non-coding RNA (200 nucleotides) under Ophiosphaerella sp. RNAcentral's name for it is "partial internal transcribed spacer 2". The record is from RNAcentral. Lineage: Eukaryota; Fungi; Ascomycota; Dothideomycetes; Pleosporales; Phaeosphaeriaceae.